RNAcentral lists this ribosomal RNA (497 nucleotides) under uncultured bacterium. Its description in RNAcentral is "partial 16S ribosomal RNA". It matches the Rfam family "Bacterial small subunit ribosomal RNA", at positions 28 to 507 of the family's 1533-position model. The record is from RNAcentral.
GAUGAACGCUGGCGGCGUGCCUAAUACAUGCAAGUCGAGCGAACAGACGAGGAGCUUGCUCCUCUGACGUUAGCGGCGGACGGGUGAGUAACACGUGGAUAACCUACCUAUAAGACUGGGAUAACUUCGGGAAACCGGAGCUAAUACCGGAUAAUAUAUUGAACUGCAUGGUUCAAUAGUGAAAGACGGUUUUGCUGUCACUUAUAGAUGGAUCCGCGCUGCAUUAGCUAGUUGGUAAGGUAACGGCUUACCAAGGCAACGAUGCGUAGCCGACCUGAGAGGGUGAUCGGCCACACUGGAACUGAGACACGGUCCAGACUCCUACGGGAGGCAGCAGUAGGGAAUCUUCCGCAAUGGGCGAAAGCUUGACGGAGCAACGCCGCGUGAGUGAUGAAGGUCUUCGGAUCGUAAAACUCUGUUAUUAGGGAAGAACAAAUGUGUAAGUAACUAUGCACAUCUUGACGGUACCUAAUCAGAAAGCCACGGCUAACUACGUG